Molecule: long non-coding RNA, 1356 nt
Organism: Hipposideros armiger (great roundleaf bat)
Lineage: Eukaryota; Metazoa; Chordata; Mammalia; Chiroptera; Hipposideridae
Exons: 5
Source: RefSeq, a predicted model, not a curated record
AGUAAUAAAAAAAUGGAGAUCUCCCAAUAUUUUGGAGCUGGAACAUGGAUGAGGAAAUAGAGGCCCAGAGAGGAAUAUUGAUGAACCUGCAACCUAGCUGUGACCAUGCAGACGACAAUACUGCCUAAGUGAUGGCAGAGAAACAGGAUGGAAGGAACCUGGUCCCUGAACCUGGCUGUGUGGGGCAGAGCCAUCUGCCUACCUGGAAUGCCGACCUUGGACAUAAAUAUCUAUAUCCUCUAUAUAUCUGUUUUUGUUUGUUUGUUUGUUUUUGUUAGCAGCUUACCUUUUUUUACCUUAGUCAAUACAGGCCUUUUUCUCCCUCUGGUUUGGUUGUAUCUUGAGAAAAAGCUGACUUAUGUUUCUUUGUGGGUCCUGUGACAAGCAUAUUGUCCUUAAAUUAAUGCUAGCUGAAUGAACCUUGAAGAUAAAAUGGUACCUUGCUCAUGCUCAGUCUUGUAAAGGACUAAAAGCAAAGGGAUAAGAAGAAACAAUACAAUAUGAAAAAUGUUUCAUAUGUUACCAUGUCUGGACACCUUUGGAGACAUUUAGGUCUACUGAGAAAAAAAUCUGAGGACCCUUAGAGAAAGGGAGCUAGGAAAAGAGAUUUAGAGUAAGUUCCUCUGAAAGGAGUAAAUGAGGACCAUGAACUCCACCAGUGGCAGAAACAUCAUUCACUAACACCCUACUACUGGAUACUGGUCUAUUUUUCCCCGGUAAUCCUGCUUUACUGUUUUACUGUGUGUGGUAGCAGUUCCCAAAGACAGAUACUUCCUCUCCCCGACCUAUCCAUCCCCACCUUGAGCCACGCUUCAUGAUAUGGAUGCCCUUGUAUACCUCUGCCCCCUGAAUGUGGGCUAGCCUCACGACUUUCUAUAUGAAUACAGAAUAUGGGGGAAGUGAAGCUGCCUGACUUUUGAGGCUAGGUCAUAAGUUUUGCAGUUAUUGUUUGGGACUCCUGGAAUACUUACUUGCUCGUUGGAUGUUCCCUCUUAGCACCCAGCACUUGCUGGAGGAAGCCCAAGGUACGUGGAAAGGCCAUGAGCUCUGCUCCAGGAGACAGCCCCAGUGGCCAAGACAUGGAAACAAUCAAAGUGCCCUUUGAUAGAUGACUGGAUAAACAACAUAUGGUAUAUCUCCACAAUGGAUUACUAUUCGGCCAUAAGAAAAAAUGAAAUACUGCCAUUUGCAACAACUUGGAUGGAUCUUGAGAUUAUCAUGCAAAGCAAAGUUACCAGAGAGCUGUCAGAGGGGAACUGUCCUGAGUAGACACUGCACUAGUGGCCUAGCUCCCUGACUAGUUAGACAACUGGAAAUCCUAACUGGGAAUUGCACAAAUUCUGUCUGCUGAAGAAA